Molecule: long non-coding RNA, 1377 nt
Filed under: Salmo salar (Atlantic salmon)
Lineage: Eukaryota; Metazoa; Chordata; Actinopteri; Salmoniformes; Salmonidae
Description: lncRNA (ENSSSAG00000082497.1)
Source: RNAcentral
GGGACCCUCUGCACACAUCAACAACUGCCUCUUACGAAGCACAGUGGAAAAACACAGUAUGUUCUGAACACUCGUCGUGGUCUCAGACUGAACAUUUAAAAAGCUGUAAAUCAAAUCAGUGAUCAGUGUCUCCACGAACAGAAGAGGUUGUCUGUGUCCCAAAUAGUGGAUUACUUUUGACCAUGGUCCAUAGAGCUCUGGUCAAAACAACGGCACUAUAUAGGGAAUAGGGUGCCAUAGGGCUCUGGUCUAAAGUAGUGCAGUAUAUAGGGAAUAGGGUGGCAUAGGGCUCUGGUCUAAAGUACUGCACUACAUAGGCAAUAGGGUGCCAUAGGGCUCUGGUCUAAAGUAGUGCACUAUAUAGGGAAUAGGGUGCCAUAGGGCUCUGGUCUAAAGUACUGCACUACAUAGGGAAUAGGGUGCCAUAGGGCUCUGGUCUAAAGUAGUGCACUACAUAGGGAAUAGGGUGCCAUAGGGCUCUGUCUAAAGUAGUGCACUAUAUAGGGAAUAGGGUGCCAUAGGGCUCUGGUCUAAAGUACUGCACUAUAUAUGGAAUAGGGUGCCAUAGGGCUCUGUCUAAAGUAGUGCACUAUAUAGGGAAUAGGGUGCCAUAGGGCUCUGAUCUAAAGUACUGCACUAUAUAGGGAAUAGGGUGCCAUUUGGGACGUAGACUUGGUUCACGUUCCCCUGCUUAGACAUUGCAUGCAUCAACCAAUGGUUGCAUGCCACAUCACUGACUGUGUCAUCAACUGAUGUGUUUAGCUGUACAGGUCUGGCAGGGGUGGAGUUCCCCAGGUAGGUGUGGCCAUCCUAUUGGAGCAGGGGAGGUCAGGUGGUCAGAUAUGGCCAUCCUAUUGGAGCAGGGGAGGUCAGGUGGUCAGGUGUGGCCAUCCUAUUGGAGCAGGGGAGGUCAAGUGGUCAGGUGGUCAGGUGUGGCCAUCCUAUUGGAGCAGGGGAGGUCAGGUGGUCAGAUAUGGCCAUCCUAUUGGAGCAGGGGAGGUCAGGUGGUCAGGUGUGGCCAUCCUAUUGGAGCAGGGGAGGUCAGGUGGUCAGGUGUGGCCAUCCUAUUGGAGCAAGGGAGGUCAGGUGGUCAGGUAUGGCCAUCCUAUUGGAGCAGAGGAGGUCAGGUGGUCAGGUAUGGCCAUCCUAUUGGAGCAGAGGAGGUCAGGUGGUCAGGUAUGGCCAUCCUAUUGGAGCAGGGGAGGUCUGAUGUCAGUAAAGUAGAAUUCCAAAUUCAGAUUGUUAAUUCUAGAUCUAAUGCUGGAUUAGAUAGAAAAACUCCCCCUGCUUUUGAUUAAGAAUGAUGAGGUCAGGGGAUUAGAGGGCAAGCAAAUGCUUUUAUUACAUUGGCCCUUGCCCAAUCCUGGAAUUAAUCUG